This 524-nucleotide ribosomal RNA is filed under the name uncultured bacterium. Its description in RNAcentral is "bacterial SSU rRNA". It matches the Rfam family "Bacterial small subunit ribosomal RNA", at positions 22 to 518 of the family's 1533-position model. The record is from RNAcentral.
GGUCAGGACGAACGCUGGCGGCGUGCCUAAUACAUGCAAGUCGAACGGUCUUUCUAUGGAAGCUUGCUUCCACUGAAAAGAUAGUGGCGAACGGGUGAGUAACACGUAGGUAACCUGCCCAUAAGAGGGGGAGUAACAUCCGGAAACGGGUGCUAAUACCGCAUAGUUUUCUUGAUCGCAUGAUCGGGAAAGGAAAGACGGCCUUUGUGCUGUCGCUUAUGGAUGGACCCGCGGCGUAUUAGUUAGUUGGUGAGGUAACGGCUCACCAAGACGAUGAUACGUAGCCGACCUGAGAGGGUGAUCGGCCACAUUGGGACUGAGACACGGCCCAAACUCCUACGGGAGGCAGCAGUAGGGAAUCUUCCGCAAUGGACGAAAGUCUGACGGAGCAACGCCGCGUGAGUGAAAGAAGGUUUUCGGAUCGUAAAACUCUGUUGUCAGAGAAGAACAAGUUGGAGAGUAACUGCUCCAGCCUUGACGGUAUCUGACCAGAAAGCCACGGCUAACUACGUGCCAGCCGCCGC